CUCUGUCUCUGUUCGCUGUAUCCCUGCUCCUUCCCUCCCUGACCCCGUGCGGCGGCUCUUGUGGUUGCCACGUUGUGGGUCGGCUUCACGACUGCAUGUGAGUGGGAUUGUUUACGCCUUUAGUGAAGAGGCGGCGGCGGCUGUAGGAUCCACGUUUUACCGUUAGCUGAGAAAGAGGAGAGCUACACCUGAAAACGAAAACGCACGAGCUCCAUCAGAGAGAGGGGGACAUGGAAGCACCCUUUCUUGCGGUCAGGGGCUCUUACAUCCUCUUAUUCUCGGACUGCGCUCGGAGAACACGGCUAAAACUCAGCUGAGCAACACCGCGACCAUGGCG
Molecule: unclassified non-coding RNA, 337 nt
Filed under: Leishmania donovani
Lineage: Eukaryota; Euglenozoa; Kinetoplastea; Trypanosomatida; Trypanosomatidae
Description: gene:unknown
Source: RNAcentral